GGAAGGGUGCGAGAGUGGCCGAUCCGGGCGGUUUGCUAAACCGUAGUAGGACCAAAAGUCCUACCGAGGGUUCGAAUCCCUCCCCUUCCGCCA
Molecule: transfer RNA, 93 nt
Filed under: Bacillota bacterium
Lineage: Bacteria; Bacillati; Bacillota
Also listed under: 2 other names
Description: Firmicutes bacterium (compost metagenome) tRNA-Ser
Rfam family: tRNA
About the family: Transfer RNA (tRNA) molecules are approximately 80 nucleotides in length.
Source: RNAcentral